RNAcentral lists this transfer RNA (65 nucleotides) under Protohermes gutianensis. Its description in RNAcentral is "tRNA-Tyr". The record is from RNAcentral. RNAcentral also lists the same sequence under 1 other name. Lineage: Eukaryota; Metazoa; Arthropoda; Insecta; Megaloptera; Corydalidae.
GGUAAAAUGGCUGAAUUAUAGGCGAUAGAUUGUAAAUUUAUUCAUGGGAAUUAAUCUCUUUUACU